CAGCAGCCGCGGGAAUACGUAGGUGGCAAGCGUUGUCCGGAAUUAUUGGGCGUAAAGGGCUCGCAGGCGGUUUCUUAAGUCUGAUGUGAAAGCCCCCGGCUCAACCGGGGAGGGUCAUUGGAAACUGGGAAACUUGAGUGCAGAAGAGGAGAGUGGAAUUCCACGUGUAGCGGUGAAAUGCGUAGAGGUGUGGAGGAACACCAGUGGCGAAGGCGACUCUCUGGUCUGUAACUGACGCUGAGGAGCGAAAGCGUGGGGAGCGAACAGGAUUAGAUACCCGAGUAGUCCCUGUCUCUUAUAC
RNAcentral lists this ribosomal RNA (301 nucleotides) under uncultured bacterium. Its description in RNAcentral is "partial 16S ribosomal RNA". It matches the Rfam family "Bacterial small subunit ribosomal RNA", at positions 509 to 807 of the family's 1533-position model. The record is from RNAcentral.